This 508-nucleotide ribosomal RNA is filed under the name uncultured bacterium. RNAcentral describes it as "partial 16S ribosomal RNA". The record is from RNAcentral.
GGAGUUAGCCGGUGCUUCUUCUGUGAGUGAUGUCCUUCCUGCCGGUUAUUGACCCGCAGGCCUUCUUCCUCACUGAAAGUGCUUUACAACCCGAAGGCCUUCUUCACACACGCGGCAUGGCUGGAUCAGGGUUGCCCCCAUUGUCCAAUAUUCCCCACUGCUGCCUCCCGUAGGAGUCUGGGCCGUGUCUCAGUCCCAGUGUGGCUGAUCAUCCUCUCAGACCAGCUACGGAUCGUCGCCUUGGUGAGCCGUUACCUCACCAACCAGCUAAUCCGACAUAGGCUCAUCCGAUAGCGCGAGGCCCGAAGGUCCCCCGCUUUCCCCCGUAGGGCGUAUGCGGUAUUAGCCUGGGUUUCCCCCAGGUUAUCCCCCACUACCGGGCAGAUUCCUAUGCAUUACUCACCCGUCCGCCGCUCGCCACCAGGGAGCAAGCUCCCCGUGCUGCCGCUCGACUUGCAUGUGUUAGGCCUGCCGCCAGCGUUCAAUCUGAGCCAGAAUCGAACCCUGA